AAAUGACAUGCUGUUUUACUCUGUUUGUCAUGUCAAGGGCUCAGUGAGGCUGAAAGAUUCAUUCCUUCCAACUGGUUCUGUGAGUUUUGACAUUUUGACGCAAUCAGGGUCGGAAAUCCAACCAAAUACAUCAAAAAGGCUGACACUUGACAGAUAUAGAAAAGCUGUCAGUUUUUUGCGAGCAGGGAAAUAUAAUGAUCAAUGAACAUAGGGAAAUCUUGCAACUGGCUCAAAGUCAGACUUUCAUUCAACUGACAGCAAAGACAGCCAGCUAACCUUCUCAUGAACAAAAAAACAAACUGAACAAGGAAUCCUCAGCCUCGUUAAAUAGCCUCCCAUUGAUGAUUGGCAUCAGCUGCGGGAGAACAGCACAGGUGCUCCCAAUAACUGCUGAUUGAAAUCCCAGGACCAUCAAGGACAAACCACAGCUGGCAACAUCACACCUCAACCUGCUGUCGUCUUUUCUCUCCUGCAGCGCCAGACCAAAUGUGUGACUGAAAGAUUAUUCGCUGCUUGCAUCAUGCUGCGAGGCGGAAUGAAAAUCAAUAUCAGUCACUUCAAUUCACUCAGAAAACAAACCAAUGCCUUUCUCACCGAGGGGUUCUGUUCAGCUCUGCAACACAUGGUGUGAAUUAAGCUGUGACUGAAAUGAAAUAAUGCAAGAACUGUCUCAAAAUUCAAGGUGGAAGUACUUUUAGGGUUUGCACAGUAAUGAAGGCGAGAUGCAAAUAUCACCCAGAUGAUCUCCUGGGAGGUGACAAGCUGUUGAUCCUGAAGAGGGCGACAGAGGGCCAGAGUCACUUGGGGAAAUCCUUGAUUGCACAGAGGCGAAUCAGUGUGAGAAAAAUGGAGAACAAGAGAAGUCUGGCAUUGAGGACUAAUGAUCUGUGGUAGUUUUUCUUGGCGAUGGUGUGUGUUCUGUGAAAGAAAAACAAACUUCUCGUGCAUAUUUGUGAAGAAAGAAAAAUUGUCCUUUGCUCUAACUGCACCAGUCUGAAUGUUGACAUGGCUGCUGCCGCUCUGGCCCCAAAAGCCACAUCAGAUGAUUUGUGAGGGCCCCAUGAGACGGGGGCCAGCAGCAUGUAAUGGAGCAACUGGACUGGGCUGACAGAUUUCUCAGCUUGGAGAGUUGUUGCGUGUUGCAGAGACCUGCUGGUGAUUCAGAUUGGGCGUUUCAAAAAUGCUAAAUGUUUUCCUUGCCGUGUGGAGAUGGAAACUGCCUUGUGGUCUUUGUCUUCAUGGCCUUGUAAUAAAUGUGAACUAACAAAAAUUAAA
This is a long non-coding RNA of Notolabrus celidotus (New Zealand spotty), 1275 nucleotides long. RefSeq lists it as uncharacterized. The transcript is spliced from 2 exons. The record is from RefSeq and is a predicted model, not a curated record. Lineage: Eukaryota; Metazoa; Chordata; Actinopteri; Labriformes; Labridae.